This 492-nucleotide ribosomal RNA is filed under the name uncultured bacterium. Its description in RNAcentral is "partial 16S ribosomal RNA". It matches the Rfam family "Bacterial small subunit ribosomal RNA", at positions 29 to 507 of the family's 1533-position model. The record is from RNAcentral.
AGUGAACGCUGGCGGUAGGCCUAACACAUGCAAGUCGAACGGCAGCACAGUAAGAGCUUGCUCUUACGGGUGGCGAGUGGCGGACGGGUGAGGAAUACAUCGGAAUCUACUUUUUCGUGGGGGAUAACGUAGGGUAACUUACGCUAAUACCGCAUACGACCUACGGGUGAAAGCAGGGGAUCUUCGGACCUUGCGCGAUUGAAUGAGCCGAUGUCGGAUUAGCUAGUUGGCGGGGUAAAGGCCCACCAAGGCGACGAUCCGUAGCUGGUCUGAGAGGAUGAUCAGCCACACUGGAACUGAGACACGGUCCAGGCUCCUACGGGAGGCAGCAGUGGGGAAUAUUGGACAAUGGGCGCAAGCCUGAUCCAGCCAUACCGCGUGGGUGAAGAAGGCCUUCGGGUUGUAAAGCCCUUUUGUUGGGAAAGAAAAGCAGCAGGUUAAUACCCCGCUGUUCUGACGGUACCCAAAGAAUAAGCACCGGCUAACUUCGUG